Molecule: ribosomal RNA, 510 nt
Filed under: Gryllus sp. 'staccato'
Lineage: Eukaryota; Metazoa; Arthropoda; Insecta; Orthoptera; Gryllidae
Description: partial large subunit ribosomal RNA
Rfam family: Bacterial large subunit ribosomal RNA
Source: RNAcentral
CUUCUUGAAUUGAUAUGAAGUCGUGCCUGCCCACUGAUUUAUUAAAUGGCCGCGGUAUAUUGACCGUGCAAAGGUAGCAUAAUCAUUAGUCUUUUAAUUGGAGGCUGGAAUGAAUGGUUUGACGAAACAAUAACUGUCUCAGGAUAAUUAAUUGAAUUUUAUUUUUAAGUUAAAAAGCUUAAAUAAUGACAGGGGACGAGAAGACCCUAUAGAUCUUAAUAUUAUUAUAUUAAAAUAUAUGUUUGGGAGUAGUUUUGUAUAUUUUAUUAUGUAAUGUUUUGUUGGGGUGACAAGGGAAUAAUUUAACUUCUUUAUAAUUUACUGUGAUGGUUGGUUAAUUGAUCCUAUUAUUAUGGAAUGAAGAUAAAGAUACCUUAGGGAUAACAGCGUAAUAUUGUUGGAGAGUUCAUAUUGAUAAUAAUGAUUGCGACCUCGAUGUUGGAUUAAGAAAAUUAUUAGGUGCAGGAGCUUAAUAUAUUGGUCUGUUCGACCAUUAAAUUCUUACGUGAU